RNAcentral lists this ribosomal RNA (254 nucleotides) under uncultured bacterium. Its description in RNAcentral is "partial 16S ribosomal RNA". It matches the Rfam family "Bacterial small subunit ribosomal RNA", at positions 524 to 776 of the family's 1533-position model. The record is from RNAcentral.
UACGGGGGGAGCAAGCGUUGUUCGGAAUUACUGGGCGUAAAGCGCACGUAGGCGGCUUUGUAAGUUAGAGGUGAAAGCCCAGGGCUUAACCCUGGAAUUGCCUUUAACGACUGCAUCGCUAGAAUCGUGGAGAGGUGAGUGGAAUUCCGAGUGUAGAGGUGAAAUUCGUAGAUAUCGGGAGGAACACCAGUGGCGAAGGCGGCGAUCUGGGAAGAUACUGACGCUGAGGUGCGAAAGCGUGGGGAGCAAACAGG